GGCAAACGGGUGCGGAACACGUACGCAACCUUCCCAAAACUGGGGAAUAGCCCUCCGAAAGGAGGAUUAAUACCCCGUAACAUAGCGAUGUGGCAUCACAUUGCUAUUAUAGCUUCGGCGCUAGAUGAUGGGUGUGCGUAUGAUUAGAUAGUUGGCGAGGUAACGGCUCACCAAGUCUACGAUCAUUAGCUGAUGUGAGAGCAUGAUCAGCCACACGGGCACUGAGACACGGGCCCGACUCCUACGGGAGGCAGCAGUAAGGAAUAUUGGUCAAUGGACGCAAGUCUGAACCAGCCAUGCCGCGUGAAGGAUUAAGGUCCUCUGGAUUGUAAACUUCUUUUAUAUGGGACGAAAAAAGGUCUUUCUAGACCCCUUGACGGUACCAUAUGAAUAAGCACCGGCUAACUCCGUGCCAGCAGCCGCGGUAAUACGGAGGGUGCAAGCGUUAUCCGGAUUCACUGGGUUUAAAGGGUGCGUAGGCGGGUAGGUAAGUCAGUGGUGAAAUCCUGGAGCUCAACUCCAGAACUGCCAUUGAUACUAUCUAUCUUGAAUAUUGUGGAGGUAAGCGGAAUAUGUCAUGUAGCGGUGAAAUGCUUAGAUAUGACAUAGAACACCCAUUGCGAAGGCAGCUUACUACGCAUAUAUUGACGCUGAGGCACGAAAGCGUGGGGAUCAAACAGGAUU
This 684-nucleotide ribosomal RNA is filed under the name uncultured Chitinophagaceae bacterium. Its description in RNAcentral is "bacterial SSU rRNA". It matches the Rfam family "Bacterial small subunit ribosomal RNA", at positions 97 to 779 of the family's 1533-position model. Lineage: Bacteria; Pseudomonadati; Bacteroidota; Chitinophagia; Chitinophagales; Chitinophagaceae. The record is from RNAcentral.